CCCUUAGAUGUUCUGGGCCGCACGCGCGCUACACUGACGAUGGCAACGAGUUUUUCCUUCGCCGAAAGGUGUGGGUAAUCUUUUGAAACAUCGUCGUGCUGGGGAUAGAUCAUUGCAAUUUUUGAUCUUGAACGAGGAAUUCCUAGUAAGCGCGAGUCGUCAGCUCGCGUUGAUUACGUCCCUGCCCUUUGUACACACCGCCCGUCGCUACUACCGAUUGAAUGGUUUAGUGAGGACUCCUGAUUGGCGCCGCCGCCCCGGCAACGGAGCAGCGGACUGCCGAAAAGUUGUUCAAACUUGAUCAUUUAGAGGAAGUAAAAGUCGUAACA
This 329-nucleotide ribosomal RNA is filed under the name uncultured eukaryote. RNAcentral describes it as "partial 18S ribosomal RNA". It matches the Rfam family "Eukaryotic small subunit ribosomal RNA", at positions 1470 to 1796 of the family's 1831-position model. The record is from RNAcentral.